This 440-nucleotide ribosomal RNA is filed under the name uncultured bacterium. RNAcentral's name for it is "partial 16S ribosomal RNA". It matches the Rfam family "Bacterial small subunit ribosomal RNA", at positions 338 to 795 of the family's 1533-position model. The record is from RNAcentral.
CCUACGGGAGGCAGCAGUGGGGAAUAUUGCACAAUGGGCGAAACCCUGAUGCAGCGACGCCGCGUGAAGGAAGAAGUAUUUCGGUAUGUAAACCUCUAUCAGCAGGGAAGAAAAUGACGGUACCUGACUAAGAAGCUCCGGCCAACUACGUGCCAGCAGCCGUGGUAAUACGUAGGGGGCAAGGGUGAUCCGGAUUUAGUGGGUGUAAAGGGAGCGUAGGCGGUUUGGCAAGUCGGAAGUGAAAGCCCGGGGCUCAACUGCGGGACUGCUUUUGAAACUGUUGAACUUGAGUGCAGGAGAGGUAAGUGGAAUUCCUGGUGUAGCGGUGAAAUGCGUAGAUAUUAGGAGGAACACCAGUGGCGAAGGCGGCUUACUGGACUGUAAAUGACGCUGAGGCUCGAAAGCGUGGGGAGCAAACAGGAUUAGAUACCCGGGUAGUC